CCAGACGGCCAUAGGGACUUGGUUCUACCCGAUCCCAUUUCGAACUCGGAAGUCAAGCAAGCCUCCGUUCCAUGCUGUACUGUUCUCAGAACGGGAAACAUGGAAAGCUGUCACCU
This 116-nucleotide ribosomal RNA is filed under the name Candidatus Woesearchaeota archaeon. Lineage: Archaea; Nanobdellati; Candidatus Woesearchaeota. The record is from RNAcentral.